GGGGAGCCCAGACUUGCCAAUGGGUAAGUGAGUCUAGUCAAGAUGCAGGAUUUCAGAAAACUCACUCAGAAGAGCAGGCUGAAGAUAAAGGAGGCAUCAUUCAGCAGCAAUAACCAACUCAUUUCCUUCUCUAGAAAGCGAGGAACCAAGAAUCUGGUCACAGGAUUUUACCAGCGCAAAGGAUUAAUCCACCCAUUUGAUGGCCAAGAAACCAACCAGUGAGAGCAGGAAGCAAGAACACUUCGAGACAGGAGGCAUGGCUGGGAGGUCUCAGGAAACUUAUAAUCAUGGCAGAAGGCAAAGAGGAAGCUGUAUCUUGUAAUAAGUUAAAUAUUUGCUGAAGGAAGAGAGAUGUAAUAGAAAAUAGAAGUGCCAGUGGUGAAACUUUAUUUUUUUUCUGAGGAAGCGUUGAAAUAAAUGAAGAUACACAGAGAAGAAAACAAUUCUUAACAAGUGCUAACUGUCAUCAAAUACUAUGUUUAAAUGAACUCCUACUGAAGAGAGAUUAGAUUUUUUUCCUGUAUUUUGUGAAGAAAACAAUUGAAAAUCAACAAGUAGGAGUAAGGAGUAGACUCUUCAGAUACAUGGAUUUCUAAUAGUAGAGUUGCUCCAGUUGGACUCACUCAAAUAAAAUGAGUUCCAAAUUCCCAGGGAUGUGCAAACAUUGAGUAAACAAUGAACUGCCAAGAUUAAGUAGUACAAGGCUCAUAGAUGAUUCCUGUUCCCAUAUUGCAUAUGUUUCCUUUGUAUUCAGAAAGACACUGGGCUUCCCCCAAACCAAAGGAGAAUAGUGCCCCUCCCACUCACAUCCAGAGGCGUACAUCUACUGCAUAGGAGUUGCUUUCAUUUUCCUCUUUAUAAAUUGUUUUGUCUUAUUCUAAAUUCACUAAAGAAUGAUGAUUUUCAGAAAUGUAACAAUAUCAGGUGGAAGCAUAGUUAUGUAGUAGUAUAAUACAAGUUAAGCUAAUUAAAAGAUAUCACUGAUAUAUAUCAAAAUAGAAACACUUGCAAAAAUGACAAUACUUAUUUUUGUUGGGGAUGUAGAGAAAAUAGUACUCUAAAAACUUCUAGAGUGAAUAUGCAUUGUUGUAUCUUUAAUUCUUAAGCUAUCAUAAAGAGGGUAUUAAAAUUUAAUGUACAUAUGCUUUUUGGUCAAGCAAUACUUUAUAUCUAGAACUGUAUGUUAUAGAAACCAAAGGGUUACUAGUAGAGACCUAUGAAUAAAUAAUUUUCUUGCAUUAGAUAUUAGAAAAAUACCCAAACAUGAUAAAGUAGUGAUUCAAAUUAUGGUACAUCUAUACCGUGGAUGUUCGUGAAUGAAACCGUUAGAUACAACCCGUCAUAAAACCAUCAGAUCUCAUGAGACUUAUUCAUUAUCAAGAGAACAGCAUGAGAAAAACCCAUCCCCGUGAUUCAGUUACCUCCUACCAAGUCCCUACCAUGACACAUGGGGAUUAUGGGAGCUCCAAUUCAAAAUGAGAUUGGACAAGUGACACAGCACAGCCAAACCAUAUCAGACAUCAAACUAUUUAUCUUCACAAAUGAUAAAAUUUUACACCUAGAAAACCUCAUAGUCUGCAAAAAGGCUCCUAGGCCUAAUAACUUCAGCAAAGUUUCAAAAUAUAAAAUCAAUGUACACAAAUCAGUAGCAUUUCUAUAUACCAAUAACAUCCAAGCUGACAGCAAAAUCAAAAAUGAAAUCCCAUUCACUAUAGCCACAUACAAAAAAUACCUAGGAAAUAUGGCUCACCAGGGAGAUGAAACAUCUCUAGAAUAAGAAUUAUAAAACACUGCUGAAAGAAAUCAGAGAUGGCAUACACAAAUGGAAAAACAUUCCAUGAUCUUGGAUAGAGAGAAUCAGUAUUUUUUAAAUGGCCAUACUGCCCAAAGCAAUUUCACAGAUUCAAUGCUAUUUCUAUCAAACUACCGAUUACAUUUUUCACAGAAUGAGAAUAAACUAUUUCAAAUGUCAUAUAGAACCAAAAAAAGCCCGAAUAGCUAAAGCAAUCCUAAGAAAAAAAAAAAAAAUGAAACAAAGAUGAAGGCCUCAUGAUGUCUAACUUUAAAAUAUGUUACAAGGCUACAGUAACCAAAACAGCAUGGUACUGGUACAAAAACAGACACAUAGACUAAUACAACAGGUUAGAGAUCCCAGAAAGAAAGCCAUAAACCUACAACCAUCUGAUCUUUGACAAAACUGACAAAAACAAGCAACAGGUAAAAGACUCCAUAUUCAACAAAUGAUGUUGGGAUAACUGGCUAAUCAUAUGCAGAAGAUUGAAGUUAAAUCCUUUCCUUUCACCAUAUACAAAAAUCAACUCAAGAUAGAUUAAAGACAUAAAUGGAAAAUCUCAAACUAUAAAAACUCUAAAAGGAAACCUAGGAAAUUUCACCUUGGACAGAGGCCCUGACAAAGAUUUUAUGACAAAGCUUUCAAAAGCGUUUGCAACAAAAACAAAAAUUGACAAAUGGGACCUAAUUAAACUAAAGAGCUUCUGCACAACAACAAAAAUUAUCAACUGAGUAAACAGAUAAUCUACAGAAUAGGAGAAAAUAUUUGCAAAUUUUGCAUCCCAUAAAGGUCUAAUAUGAAGAAUCUAUAAAGAACUUCAAUAAAUUCACAAACAAGGAGUAAACAACCCUAUCCAAAAAUGUGCAAAGAACAUGAACAGACACUUCUCAAAGGAAGACAUAUGUGGCCAAAAAGCGUAUGAAAAAAAAUGCUUAUCGUCACAAAUAUUUAGAGAAAUGCAAGUCAAAACCAUAGUGAGAUACCAUCUCAUACCAGUCAGAAUGGCUAUUACUGAAAAGUCAAAAAUGACAUUCUGGUGAGGCUCUGCAGAAAAGGGAAAACUGAUACACUGCUAGUAGGAAUGUACAUUAAUUUAGCCACAGUGUAAAGAAGUUUGGAGAUCUUUCAAAGAACUUCCUCAAAGAACACACAUAUAUUCAUUGUGACACUAUUCACAGUAGCAAAGGCAUGGAAUCAACCUUGAUGCUGAUCAAUGGUGGACUGGAUAAGGAAAAUGUGGUACUUUUACACCAUGCAAUACUAUGCAGCCAUAAAAAAAGAACAAAAGCAUGUCCUUUGCAGGGACAUGGAUAGAGCCAGAGGCCAUUAUCCUAAGUCAAUUAACACAGGAACAGAAAACCAAAUACUGCAUGUUCUCACUGCUAAGUAGAAGCUAAACACUGAGAACACUUGGACAAAAAGAAGGGAACAAUAGACGUCGGGCAUACUGGAGGGUGGAGGGUAGGAGGAGAGUGAGAACUGAAAAACUACCUAUCUGAUACUAUGCUCAUUACCUGGGUGAUGAAAUAAUCUGUACACAAAACUCCCAUGACAUGCAGUUUACCCAUGUAGCAAACCUGCAUAUGUACUCCUUGAACCUAAAAUAAAAAUUAAAAAGAAAAAAAAAGCCA
Molecule: long non-coding RNA, 3423 nt
Filed under: Pongo abelii (Sumatran orangutan)
Lineage: Eukaryota; Metazoa; Chordata; Mammalia; Primates; Hominidae
Description: lincRNA
Source: RNAcentral